GCCCUCGUAGCUCAGUGGAUAGAGCGUUGGGUUGCGGACCCAAAGGCCGCAGGUUCGAAUCCUGCCGAGGGUA
This 73-nucleotide transfer RNA is filed under the name Chloroflexi bacterium RBG_16_57_9. Its description in RNAcentral is "tRNA-Arg". It matches the Rfam family "tRNA". Rfam says of the family: Transfer RNA (tRNA) molecules are approximately 80 nucleotides in length. Their secondary structure includes four short double-helical elements and three loops (D, anti-codon, and T loops). The record is from RNAcentral. RNAcentral also lists the same sequence under 1 other name. Lineage: Bacteria; Bacillati; Chloroflexota.